CGCAGAAUACCGAUAUUAAAUUGAAAGCGUACAAAAUACGUUUUGUGCAAGAACUGAAAGUUGCUCGAUCAUCCUAAGCGACACUCUAUGUGGUCUUGAAAAGUUUCAAGAAGAUCCGACGUUUUCGAGCCAAAUGUUGUUCAGCGAUGGGCCUCAGGUCUGGCUCAAUGGAUAUGUAAACGAGCAAACUUGCCGUAUUUGGGACGAAGUGCAACCUGAAGAGAUUCAAGAGCGGUUUGAUGUCGUUUGUGAGCCGGCGAAAUCAUCGGUCCGUAUUUCUUCAAAAUAGAUGCCGGUGAGAACGUAUCCGUCAAUGGUGACCGUUACCGCACCAUGAUAACCAACUCUUUGAUGCCUGAAAUUAAAACUCGCGAUCUCGAUGACAUUUGGCUCCAAGAAGACGGCGCCACUUUCCAUACUUCGCUUCAAUCAAUGGAUUUCUUGAGAGAACACUUCGCUUUCUAAAUGAGCCAUCAAUACCGUAUGCCGCCCCCAAAUUAGAGGCAUCGUCAAUGCGCAACUUUUCAUCAACACCAUAAUUCUGUUCAUCCAGUAAAUAUUCACGAUAAUUUAAGACUAACUGCUCAGUUUUUGCCGCAACUUCCUCAAUGCUACCAUUUUCACCACCAUAAUCCUUUGGAAGAUACUUGAUGGGCACAGCUUCGCAGAGGGACUCGAAUGUGCCGUGCACUUGAACCUGCAAUAGAAAGAGACAGUUUUCAAUAUUAAGUACUCACCCUUUCGACCAUCUUUGCUGGCAGCACUAACUUGAUUGUGGCAAACAACUUCUCAAAGAUCACACCCGUAUUGAAGAAAUGUGAAUUUUUUAUGCGCAUCGGCAUACCCUCUUCCAUGU
Molecule: long non-coding RNA, 856 nt
Organism: Bactrocera dorsalis (oriental fruit fly)
Lineage: Eukaryota; Metazoa; Arthropoda; Insecta; Diptera; Tephritidae
Exons: 3
Source: RefSeq, a predicted model, not a curated record